GACGAACGCUGGCGGCGUGCUUAACACAUGCAAGUCGAACGGAAAGGCCCUGCUUUUGUGGGGUGCUCGAGUGGCGAACGGGUGAGUAACACGUGAGUAACCUGCCCUUGACUUUGGGAUAACUUCAGGAAGCUGGGGCUAAUACCGGAUAGGAGCUCCUGCUGCAUGGUGGGGGUUGGAAAGUUUCGGCGGUUGGGGAUGGACUCGCGGCUUAUCAGCUUGUUGGUGGGGUAGUGGCUUACCAAGGCUUUGACGGGUAGCCGGCCUGAGAGGGUGACCGGCCACAUUGGGACUGAGAUACGGCCCAGACUCCUACGGGAGGCAGCAGUGGGGAAUAUUGCACAAUGGGCGGAAGCCUGAUGCAGCAACGCCGCGUGCGGGAUGACGGCCUUCGGGUUGUAAACCGCUUUCGCCUGUGACGAAGCGUGAGUGACGGUAAUGUGUAAAGAAGCACCGGCUAACUACGUG
This 468-nucleotide ribosomal RNA is filed under the name uncultured bacterium. Its description in RNAcentral is "partial 16S ribosomal RNA". It matches the Rfam family "Bacterial small subunit ribosomal RNA", at positions 28 to 507 of the family's 1533-position model. The record is from RNAcentral.